RNAcentral lists this ribosomal RNA (253 nucleotides) under uncultured bacterium. RNAcentral describes it as "partial 16S ribosomal RNA". It matches the Rfam family "Bacterial small subunit ribosomal RNA", at positions 524 to 776 of the family's 1533-position model. The record is from RNAcentral.
UACGGGGGGGGCAAGCGUUGUUCGGAAUUACUGGGCGUAAAGGGCUCGUAGGCGGCCAACUAAGUCAGACGUGAAAUCCCUCGGCUUAACCGGGGAACUGCGUCUGAUACUGGAUGGCUAGAGGUUGGGAGAGGGAUGCGGAAUUCCGGGUGUAGCGGUGGAAUGCGUAGAGAUCCGGAAGAACACCGGUGGCGAAGGCGGUGAGCUGGGCAGUAGCUGACACUGAGGCGCGACAGCGUGGGGAGCAAACAGG